Non-coding RNA from Prunus avium (sweet cherry), 342 nucleotides. The record is from RefSeq and is a predicted model, not a curated record. NCBI's taxonomy places the organism in Eukaryota, Viridiplantae, Streptophyta, Magnoliopsida, Rosales, Rosaceae.
AGGUUUGGUUUCCAUUCGUUUUCAGCUCCGAAAAUGCUAGCAGUGAGAGGGGAGCUGCAAAUAACUCAGAGGGACCAGUUGACUCAUCAGGUUUCCAACUUUUGAUACAAGACCUUGCUGACGCAACCGAUGAAGGAAACUUACGAGCAUCAGAAACAAAGUCCUUAGCAAACAUGCUAUUGUUUCAAUACCUAGUUAACGUUUUUGAAGGAGAUUUUCGACCACGUAACAGUGUCUAUGAAGAUACCAUGAACUGGGUAGUUCUGAGAGAGUCUUUAUUGAACAUGCUUCUGGUGUCAAGAAAAGUAAACUACAAAAGCUUGAUGAAGGAUUGCUUGACCA